RNAcentral lists this non-coding RNA (24 nucleotides) under Cricetulus griseus (Chinese hamster). The record is from RNAcentral. Lineage: Eukaryota; Metazoa; Chordata; Mammalia; Rodentia; Cricetidae. RNAcentral also lists the same sequence under 1 other name.
CUAGAUAGUCAAGUUCUGAUCCAG